RNAcentral lists this ribosomal RNA (908 nucleotides) under Penicillium striatisporum. RNAcentral describes it as "LSU rRNA". It matches the Rfam family "Eukaryotic large subunit ribosomal RNA", at positions 37 to 964 of the family's 3401-position model. The record is from RNAcentral. Lineage: Eukaryota; Fungi; Ascomycota; Eurotiomycetes; Eurotiales; Aspergillaceae.
AGCAUAUCAAUAAGCGGAGGAAAAGAAACCAACAGGGAUUGCCUCAGUAACGGCGAGUGAAGCGGCAAGAGCUCAAAUUUGAAAGCUGGCUCCUUCGGGGUCCGCAUUGUAAUUUGCAGAGGAUGCUUCGGGAGCGGCCCCCAUCUAAGUGCCCUGGAACGGGCCGUCAUAGAGGGUGAGAAUCCCGUAUGGGAUGGGGUGCCCGCGACCAUGUGAAGCUCCUUCGACGAGUCGAGUUGUUUGGGAAUGCAGCUCUAAAUGGGUGGUAAAUUUCAUCUAAAGCUAAAUAUUGGCCGGAGACCGAUAGCGCACAAGUAGAGUGAUCGAAAGAUGAAAAGCACUUUGAAAAGAGAGUUAAAAAGCACGUGAAAUUGUUGAAAGGGAAGCGCUUGCGACCAGACUCGCCCGCGGGGUUCAGCCGGUAUUCGUACCGGUGUACUUCCCCGUGGGCGGGCCAGCGUCGGUUUGGGCGGCCGGUCAAAGGCCCUCGGAAUGUAACGCCUCUCGGGGCGUCUUAUAGCCGAGGGUGCCAUGCGGCCAGCCCGGACCGAGGAACGCGCUUCGGCACGGACGCUGGCAUAAUGGUCGUAAGCGACCCGUCUUGAAACACGGACCAAGGAGUCUAACAUCUACGCGAGUGUUCGGGUGUCAAACCCGUGCGCGCAGUGAAAGCGAACGGAGGUGGGAACCCUUUGGGUGCACCAUCGACCGAUCCUGAUGUCUUCGGAUGGAUUUGAGUAAGAGCGUAGCUGUUGGGACCCGAAAGAUGGUGAACUAUGCCUGAAUAGGGCGAAGCCAGAGGAAACUCUGGUGGAGGCUCGCAGCGGUUCUGACGUGCAAAUCGAUCGUCAAAUUUGGGUAUAGGGGCGAAAGACUAAUCGAACCAUCUAGUAGCUGGUUCCUGCCGA